AAGUCGUAACAAGGUUUCCGUAGGUGAACCUGCGGAAGGAUCAUUGUCGAUGCCUAAACAUCAAACGACCCGCGAACAUGUUCACGAAACUGGGGGCUUAGUGGUCCAUCGUGGCCAUUGCGCCCCCAAGCCGAGUGAGUGUUGCAUGCUUUGCGUGCUUCCCUCCUUGGUAAACAAACCAAACCACGGCGCAGGUCGCGCCAAGGAACAUCAACAUGAUCGCUUGCCCUCAACCCCGACCUCGGUGUGUUGUGGGCAAUGCAUUCUGUCGUAUUCACAACGACUCUCGGCAACGGAUAUCUCGGCUCUCGCAUCGAUGAAGAACGUAGCGAAAUGCGAUACUUGGUGUGAAUUGCAGGAUCCCGCGAACCACCGAGUCUUUGAACGCAAGUUGCGCCCGGAGCCAUCUGGCCGAGGGCACGUCUGCCUGGGCGUCACGCAUCGCUGCCCCUCAUGCAACCCCCCAUCAAUAAUCGAUGUGGGGCUGGCAUGGAGGCACACAUUGGUCUCCCGUGUGCACCGUCACACGGAUGGCUUAAAUCUGAGACCUCGGCGCCUGGCGUCGUGACACAACGGUGGUUGAUCAAAACCUCGGCACCGCGUCACGACCCUAGGCUGCACCAUCGAGGCCUCUUCGACCCUCUGAAUGUCAUCACUGACGAUGCUCUCGACGCGACCCCAGGUCAGGCGGGACUACCCGCUGAGUUUAA
This 710-nucleotide ribosomal RNA is filed under the name Bolbostemma paniculatum. RNAcentral describes it as "eukaryotic LSU rRNA". The stretch from base 282 to 437 matches the Rfam family "5.8S ribosomal RNA". Lineage: Eukaryota; Viridiplantae; Streptophyta; Magnoliopsida; Cucurbitales; Cucurbitaceae. The record is from RNAcentral.